GCUGGGCAUUGCGGUGUGCGCCUGUAAUCCCAACUACUUGGGAGGCCGAGACAGGAGAAUUGCUAGAACCCAGGAGGCGGAGGUUGCAGUGAACCGAGAUCGCGACACUGCACUCCAGCCUGGGCGACAGAGUGAGAAUCCAUCUCAAAAAA
This 152-nucleotide small RNA is filed under the name Pongo abelii (Sumatran orangutan). Lineage: Eukaryota; Metazoa; Chordata; Mammalia; Primates; Hominidae. The record is from RNAcentral.